This 17-nucleotide ribosomal RNA is filed under the name Mucor hiemalis. RNAcentral describes it as "partial 28S ribosomal RNA". RNAcentral also lists the same sequence under 1 other name. The record is from RNAcentral. Lineage: Eukaryota; Fungi; Mucoromycota; Mucoromycetes; Mucorales; Mucoraceae.
CUGAAAUCAGGCGGGAU